GAUUGGCCCGCGUUGGAUUAGCUAGUUGGUGGGGUAAAGGCCUACCAAGGCGACGAUCCAUAGCUGGUCUGAGAGGAUGAUCAGCCACAUUGGGACUGAGACACGGCCCAAACUCCUACGGGAGGCAGCAGUGGGGAAUAUUGGACAAUGGGCGCAAGCCUGAUCCAGCCAUGCCGCGUGAGUGAUGAAGGCCUUAGGGUUGUAAAGCUCUUUCACCGAUGAAGAUAAUGACGGUAGUCGGAGAAGAAGCCCCGGCUAACUUCGUGCCAGCAGCCGCGGUAAUACGAAGGGGGCUAGCGUUGUACGGAAUUACUGGGCGUAAAGCGCACGUAGGCGGAUAUUUAAGUCAGGGGUGAAAUCCCAGAGCUCAACUCUGGAACUGCCUUUGAUACUGGGUAUCUUGAGUAUGGAAGAGGUAAGUGGAAUUGCGAGUGUAGAGGUGAAAUUCGUAGAUAUUCGCAGGAACACCAGUGGCGAAGGCGGCUUACUGGUCCAUUACUGACGCUGAGGUGCGAAAGCGUGGGGAGCAAACAGGAUUAGAAACCCUGGUAGUCCACGCC
Molecule: ribosomal RNA, 560 nt
Filed under: uncultured bacterium
Lineage: Bacteria
Description: bacterial SSU rRNA
Rfam family: Bacterial small subunit ribosomal RNA
Source: RNAcentral